This 407-nucleotide ribosomal RNA is filed under the name uncultured Lactobacillus sp. RNAcentral describes it as "bacterial SSU rRNA". It matches the Rfam family "Bacterial small subunit ribosomal RNA", at positions 146 to 525 of the family's 1533-position model. The record is from RNAcentral. Lineage: Bacteria; Bacillati; Bacillota; Bacilli; Lactobacillales; Lactobacillaceae.
CCAUUUGGAACAGAUGCUAAUACCGAUAAAAGCUACUUUCGCAUGAAAGAAGUUUAAAAGGACGGCGUAAGCUGUCGCUAAAGGGAUGGACCUGCGAUGCAUUAGCUAGUUGGUAAGGGUAACGGGCUUACCAAGGCGAUGAUGCAUAGCCCGAGUUGAGAGACUGAUCGGGCCACAUUGGGACUGAGACACGGGCCCAAACUCCUACGGGAGGCAGCAGUAGGGGGAAUCUUCCACAAUGGACGAAAGUCUGAUGGAGCAAACGCCGCGUGAGUGAAGAAGGUUUUCGGAUCGUAAAAAGCUCUGUUGUUGGUGAAGAAGGAUAGAGGUAGUAACUGGCCCUUUAUUUGACGGUAAUCAACCCAGAAAGUCACGGGCUAACUACGUGCCCAGCAGCCGCGGUAAAU